AUGACACAGCCCGAGGAUACUACACAAACUGAUUAGGACCAAAGAGGUCCAGGAUGGUGAACGAGUCAACUUCCACUAGACCUUGAGCCUCAGUAUACGUUCCUUGUAAUAUAUUAGCAUAUGCUAAAUGACACACCCACAGGCGCCACGACAGUUCCAAGGCCAGCCAUAAAGGUCUAAAAGUGGGCGGUGGCCCAAUUCCUGGAAAUCCCGCCCCUUCCCUAAAAUAGCUGGAAUACUCCUCCCACUCAUUAGCCUGUGAAACUACCCACCCCUAUAAGAACUGACAACCCUGUACCCUGGGGCCACUCUCUCCUUCUGAGAUGGCCCACACUCUGUCUUGUGGAGUGUGUUUAUCUCUAAAGAAAUCCACUUUGUCUCUGACUGAAUUCUUUCUGCGAUGAGACAUCAAGAACCUGAGCUUCAUUAAGUCCUGAGACCAGGAAGGACCUAUGGAGCCAUGACCUGGAGGCCAGCAGGGACUGCGCGGCCACGAGUGGAAGGAAGGCCCCUGCCACGGGCAUGGACAGUUUUUCCUGAGGGGCAGAGGGUUGGGCAUGGACGCCAAUGAGAGCACAGGUAAAGGCAGACCUCAGAGGUAUUGCAGGUUCUGUUCCAGACCACCAC
Molecule: long non-coding RNA, 627 nt
Organism: Orcinus orca (killer whale)
Lineage: Eukaryota; Metazoa; Chordata; Mammalia; Artiodactyla; Delphinidae
Exons: 3
Source: RefSeq, a predicted model, not a curated record